Panicum virgatum (switchgrass) is the source of this 252-nucleotide long non-coding RNA. RefSeq lists it as uncharacterized. The transcript has 3 exons. Lineage: Eukaryota; Viridiplantae; Streptophyta; Magnoliopsida; Poales; Poaceae. The record is from RefSeq and is a predicted model, not a curated record.
UAUAUGAUGCGGGGCCUUCUUCGUAUUACCCUACAGCGACAGCAGAAGGAACGCAAGGAUCGCACCACCAGCUUCAUGAUAUGGGUCCUUCUUCGUAUCCACCACCAACAGGGCCCACACAGGAUAACUUUGAGGCGAAUUUCGAAGAUUGGAGUCGGUUAUUUUCUACACCUAACCAGCAGGCCGAUCCUACCUUCCAGACACUUGUGGCCACCGGACGUCCAGGUAGAGACGUAGGGCCUCCAGAACGAC